GACGAACGCUGGCGGCGUGCUUAACACAUGCAAGUCGAACGGAAAGGCCCUGCCUGCAGGGUACUCGAGUGGCGAACGGGUGAGUAACACGUGGGUGAUCUGCCCUGCACUUCGGGAUAAGCCUGGGAAACUGGGUCUAAUACCGGAUAGGAGCCAUUUUUAGUGUGAUGGUUGGAAAGUUUUUUCGGUGUAGGAUGAGCUCGCGGCCUAUCAGCUUGUUGGUGGGGUAAUGGCCUACCAAGGCGGCGACGGGUAGCCGGCCUGAGAGGGUGGACGGCCACAUUGGGACUGAGAUACGGCCCAGACUCCUACGGGAGGCAGCAGUGGGGAAUAUUGCACAAAGGGCGCAAGCCUGAUGCAGCGACGCCGCGUGGGGGAUGACGGCCUUCGGGUUGGAAACUCCUUUCGCUAGGGACGAAGCUUUUUGUGACGGUACCUAGAUAAGAAGCACCGGCUAACUACGUG
Molecule: ribosomal RNA, 465 nt
Filed under: uncultured bacterium
Lineage: Bacteria
Description: partial 16S ribosomal RNA
Rfam family: Bacterial small subunit ribosomal RNA
Source: RNAcentral